ACGCUGGCGGCAGGCCUAACACAUGCAAGUCGAGCGGUAGAGAGAAGCUUGCUUCUCUUGAGAGCGGCGGACGGGUGAGUAAUGCCUAGGAAUCUGCCUGGUAGUGGGGGAUAACGUUCGGAAACGGACGCUAAUACCGCAUACGUCCUACGGGAGAAAGCAGGGGACCUUCGGGCCUUGCGCUAUCAGAUGAGCCUAGGUCGGAUUAGCUAGUUGGUGGGGUAAUGGCUCACCAAGGCGACGAUCCGUAACUGGUCUGAGAGGAUGAUCAGUCACACUGGAACUGAGACACGGUCCAGACUCCUACGGGAGGCAGCAGUGGGGAAUAUUGGACAAUGGGCGAAAGCCUGAUCCAGCCAUGCCGCGUGUGUGAAGAAGGUCUUCGGAUUGUAAAGCACUUUAAGUUGGGAGGAAGGGUUGUAGAUUAAUACUCUGCAAUUUUGACGUUACCGACAGAAUAAGCACCGGCUAACUCUGUGCCAGCAGCCGCGGUAAUACAGAGGGUGCAAGCGUUAAUCGGAAUUACUGGGCGUAAAGCGCGCGUAGGUGGUUAGUUAAGUUGGAUGUGAAAUCCCCGGGCUCAACCUGGGAACUGCAUUCAAAACUGACUGACUAGAGUGUGGUAGAGGGUGGUGGAAUUUCCUGUGUAGCGGUGAAAUGCGUAGAUAUAGGAAGGAACACCAGUGGCGAAGGCGACCACCUGGACUGAUACUGACACUGAGGUGCGAAAGCGUGGGGAGCAAAC
Molecule: ribosomal RNA, 745 nt
Filed under: uncultured bacterium
Lineage: Bacteria
Description: bacterial SSU rRNA
Rfam family: Bacterial small subunit ribosomal RNA
Source: RNAcentral